UUCGCAAUGCCCGAAAGGGUGACGAAGCGACGCCGCGUGCGGGAAGAAGGCCUUCGGGUUGUAAACCGCUGUCGGGAGUUAGGAAAUGCAAGGAUGUUAAUAGCGUCUUUGCUUGACUAAGGCUCCGGAGGAAGCCACGGCUAACUCUGUGCCAGCAGCCGCGGUAAUACAGAGGCGGCAAGCGUUGUUCGGAAUUAUUGGGCGUAAAGAGCACGUAGGCGGCCGUGUAAGUCGGUUGUGAAAGCCUUCCGCUCAACGGGAGAACGGCAUCCGAUACUGCAUGGCUCGAGUGCGGGAGGGGAGAGUGGAACUUCUGGUGGAGCGGUGAAAUGCGUAGAUAUCAGAAGGAACGCCGGCGGCGAAAGCGGCUCUCUGGCCCGUAACUGACGCUGAGUGUGCGGAAGCUAGGGGAGCAAACGGGAUUAGAUACCCCGGUAGUCCUAGCCGUAAACGAUGGGCACUAAGUAGAGGGGUUUU
This 477-nucleotide ribosomal RNA is filed under the name uncultured anaerobic ammonium-oxidizing bacterium. RNAcentral's name for it is "bacterial SSU rRNA". It matches the Rfam family "Bacterial small subunit ribosomal RNA", at positions 365 to 832 of the family's 1533-position model. The record is from RNAcentral.